CUCAACAGUCUGGGACCAGGUAUCUCAAUUGAUUGUUGCAGAUUUGAGUCAUGUAGAAGCCCUCGAUUAGGAACCUAAAUGCUGGAGCCGCAGCUCCUCCCAUCUCUGGCACUAACUGCGGGAGCUUGGAUAGUGGUUUUCCCCUCCGCAGCCGAGCCUCAUGUCCUCAUCUGUAAAUAAUGGGGAUGAACUUGGAUGUCUGAGGUCCCCUCCUGCACUAACAAUAAUCAAGAUUCACCUUAUGAAGCAGAAUGGCUAACGCCAACUCAAACUAUUUCUGCAAAGAGUUGCUGGGGACAAAGUGGAGAUGUGGGUAGGCUCCUCGAGCUGGCUCUCAGAAGCAGGCUACUGUUUUGGACCUGGAAACUGCUAUUCACUAGAAGUCAGUCCCGCCUCUAACACUAUGUAAUGUGUGAGCAAAUUUCUGAGCCUCAGUUUCCCCAUCAGU
Mustela erminea (ermine) is the source of this 448-nucleotide long non-coding RNA. RefSeq lists it as uncharacterized. The transcript has 3 exons. The record is from RefSeq and is a predicted model, not a curated record. NCBI's taxonomy places the organism in Eukaryota, Metazoa, Chordata, Mammalia, Carnivora, Mustelidae.